Molecule: non-coding RNA, 93 nt
Organism: Coprinopsis marcescibilis
Lineage: Eukaryota; Fungi; Basidiomycota; Agaricomycetes; Agaricales; Psathyrellaceae
Source: the annotation of a GenBank genome assembly
GCCCGCCUAGCUCAAUCGGAUAGAGCGUCAGACUCUUAUCCUUGGCGGAGCGAAGCGAUCUGAAGGCUGCGAGUUCGACCCUCGCGGUGGGCU